Molecule: ribosomal RNA, 433 nt
Filed under: uncultured marine eukaryote
Lineage: Eukaryota
Description: SSU rRNA
Rfam family: Eukaryotic small subunit ribosomal RNA
Source: RNAcentral
GUUAAAAAGCUCGUAGUUGGAUUUCUGGGAGGGUGCCAAUGUCCGUUGUGUACGAGUGCAGCGGCGCCCUUCCAUCCUUCUGUUAACGCCUCUCCGCAUUCAUUUGCUGGUGGCGGGCUCAGAUAUUUUACCUUGAGAAAAUUAGAGUGUUUCAGGCAGGCAUCGCACGGAAUACAUUAGCAUGGAAUAAUGGAAUAGGACUACGGUCUCUUUGUUGGUUUGAGGGACAGCAGUAAUGAUUAAUAGGGAUAGUUGGGGGCAUUAGUAUUUAAUUGUCAGAGGUGGAAUUCUCAGAUUUGUUAAAGACUAACUUAUGCGAAAGCAUUUGCCAAGGAUGUUUUCAUUAAUCAAGAACGAAAGUUAGGGGAUCAAAGACGAUCAGAUACCGUCCUAGUCUUAACCAUAAACUAUGCCGACUCGGGAUCGGGGGCGC